Molecule: ribosomal RNA, 711 nt
Filed under: Tripos fusus
Lineage: Eukaryota; Dinophyceae; Gonyaulacales; Ceratiaceae
Description: partial Bacterial large subunit ribosomal RNA
Rfam family: Bacterial large subunit ribosomal RNA
Source: RNAcentral
CGUAAGCGGAUGUGGACGAAGUGGAAGUGAGAAUGUCGGCUUGAGUAGCGAAAACAUUGGUGAGAAUCCAAUGCCCCGAAAACCUAAGGUUUCCUCCGGAAGGCUCGUCCGCGGAGGGUGAGUCAGGACCUAAGGUGAGGCCGAAAGGCGUAACUAAUGGACAACGGGUUAAUAUUCCUGUACCAUUUAUUACUGGUAUCGAGGGACGGAGAAGGCUAAACCAUCCGGAUGUUGGUUACCGGUUUAAGCGUUAAAGGUGUUGAGAAACGGAGAAAACGUUUUGAGCUAAGGCGUGAAUACGAGAUACUAAGGUAUCGAAGUGGUUGAAGUCAUACUUCCAAGAAAAGCUCGGAAUAUCAUAAGUAAUAAAUGCCUGUACCUUAAACCGACACAGGUAGGUAGGUAGAGUAUACCAAGGGGCGCGAGAUAACUCUCUCUAAGGAACUCGGCAAAAUAACUCCGUAACUUCGGGAGAAGGAGUGCCUUAUUUAUAUAAGGUUGCAAUAACAAGAUCCAAGCAACUGUUUACCAAAAACACAGGUCUCCGCGAAUUCGUAAGAUUAAGUAUGGAGGCUGACGCCUGCCCAGUGCCGGAAGGUUAAAGAAGUUGGUCAAUCCUCGGAUGAAGCUGGCGACUGAAGCCCCGGUGAACGGCGGCCGUAACAAUAACGGUCCUAAGGUAGCGAAAUUCCUUGUCGGGUAAGUUCCGAC